Molecule: ribosomal RNA, 253 nt
Filed under: uncultured bacterium
Lineage: Bacteria
Description: partial 16S ribosomal RNA
Rfam family: Bacterial small subunit ribosomal RNA
Source: RNAcentral
UACAGAGGGGGCAAGCGUUGUUCGGAAUUACUGGGCGUAAAGGGCGCGUAGGCGGCCUGUUAAGUCGAACGUGAAAUCCCCGGGCUCAACCCGGGAACUGCGUCCGAUACUGGCAGGCUUGAAUCCGGGAGAGGGAUGCGGAAUUCCAGGUGUAGCGGUGAAAUGCGUAGAUAUCAGGAGGAACACCGGUGGCGAAGGCGGGUCUCUGGGCCGAUACUGACGCUGAGGAGCGAAAGCGUGGGGAGCGAACAGG